AGAGUUUGAUCCUGGCUCAGGAUGAACGCUGGCGGCAUGCCUAAUACAUGCAAGUCGAACGAGAGGAAGGAAAGCUUGCUUUUCUGAAUCUAGUGGCGAACGGGUGAGUAACACGUAGGUAACCUGCCCAUGUGCCCGGGAUAACUUCUGGAAACGGAUGCUAAAACCGGAUAGGUAGCAGACAAGCAUUUGACUGCUAUUAAAGUGGCUUUGGCCAUGAACAUGGAUGGACCUGCGGUGCAUUAGCUGGUUGGUGAGGUAACGGCCCACCAAGGCGACGAUGCAUAGCCGGCCUGAGAGGGCGGACGGCCACAUUGGGACUGAGACACGGCCCAAACUCCUACGGGAGGCAGCAGUAGGGAAUUUUCGUCAAUGGGUGAAACCCUGAUGCAGCGACGCCGCGUGGAGGAAGAAGGUCUUCGGAUUGUAAACUCCUGUUGUUGAGGAAGAUAAUGACGGUACUCGACAAGGAAGUGACGGCUAACUACGUGCCAGCAGCCGCGGUAAAACGUAGGUCACAAGCGUUGUCCGGAAUUACUGGGUGUAAAGGGAGCGCAGGCGGGCGAUCAAGUUGGAAGUGAAAUCCAUGGGCUCAACCCAUGAACUGCUUUCAAAACUGAUUGUCUUGAGUAGUGCAGAGGUAGGCGGAAUUCCCGGUGUAGCGGUGGAAUGCGUAGAUAUCGGGAGGAACACCAGUGGCGAAGGCGGCCUACUGGGCACCAACUGACGCUGAGGCUCGAAAGUGUGGGUAGCAAACAGGAUUAGAUACCCUGGUAGUCCACACCGUAAACGAUGAUUACUAGGUGUUGGAGGAUUGACCCCUUCAGUGCCGCAGUUAACACAAUAAGUAAUCCACCUGGGGAGUACGACCGCAAGGUUGAAACUCAAAGGAAUUGACGGGGGCCCGCACAAGCAGUGGAGUAUGUGGUUUAAUUCGACGCAACGCGAAGAACCUUACCAAGUCUUGACAUCCUGCGACGAUGCUAGAAAUAGUAUUUUCCUUCGGGACGCAGAGACAGGUGGUGCAUGGUUGUCGUCAGCUCGUGUCGUGAGAUGUUGGGUUAAGUCCCGCAACGAGCGCAACCCUUAUGGUCAGUUACUACGCAAGAGGACUCUGGCCAGACUGCCGUUGACAAAACGGAGGAAGGUGGGGAUGACGUCAAAUCAUCAUGCCCUUUAUGACUUGGGCUACACACGUACUACAAUGGCGUUAAACAAAGAGAAGCAAGACCGCGAGGUGGAGCAAAACUCAGAAACAACGUCCCAGUUCGGACUGCAGGCUGCAACUCGCCUGCACGAAGUCGGAAUUGCUAGUAAUCGUGGAUCAGCAUGCCACGGUGAAUACGUUCCCGGGCCUUGUACACACCGCCCGUCAC
RNAcentral lists this ribosomal RNA (1376 nucleotides) under metagenome. Its description in RNAcentral is "bacterial SSU rRNA". It matches the Rfam family "Bacterial small subunit ribosomal RNA". The record is from RNAcentral.